AAUUCAAGGAUUUGUUCAAGACAAACAUCAGCGAAAGCAUUUACCAAAGAUAUUUCCCAUUAAUCAAGAACGAAAGUUAGGGGAUCGAAGAUGAUCAGAUACCGUCGUAGUCCUAACCAUAAACAAUACCAACCAAAAGAUAAGAGGUUGUAAAUACAAGAGAGAGAAGAGAUUUUCUCUCUUGAACCAACUCCUUUUGAAUUUUAGAGGGAAACCAUUGAGUAUUUGGGUUCUGGGGGGAGUACGGUAGCAAGGCUGAAACUUGAAGGAAUUGACGGAAGGGCACCACCAGGUGUGGAACCUGCGGCUUAAUUCGACCAACACGGGGAAAACUUACCAGGUCCGGACACAGGAAGGAUUGACAGAUUGAUAGCUCUUUCUUAAUUUCUGUGGGUGGUGGUAGCAUGGCCGUUCUUAGUUCGUGGAACUGAUCUGUCAGCUUAAUUGCGUUAACGAA
RNAcentral lists this ribosomal RNA (457 nucleotides) under uncultured eukaryote. RNAcentral describes it as "bacterial SSU rRNA". It matches the Rfam family "Eukaryotic small subunit ribosomal RNA", at positions 915 to 1335 of the family's 1831-position model. The record is from RNAcentral.